This 497-nucleotide ribosomal RNA is filed under the name uncultured bacterium. RNAcentral describes it as "partial 16S ribosomal RNA". It matches the Rfam family "Bacterial small subunit ribosomal RNA", at positions 28 to 507 of the family's 1533-position model. The record is from RNAcentral.
GAUGAACGCUGGCGGCGUGCCUAAUACAUGCAAGUCGAGCGGACAGAUGAGGAGCUUGCUCCUCUGACGUUAGCGGCGGACGGGUGAGUAACACGUGUAUCACCUACCUAUCAGACUGGGAUCACUUCGGGAAACCGGAGCUUAUACCGGAUAAUAUAUUGCACCGCGUGGUUCAUUAGUGAAAGACGGUUUUUCUGUCACUUCUCGCUGGAUCCCGGCCGCUUUAGCUAGUUGGUACGGUAAAGGCUUAGCAAGGCGACCAUGCGUAGCCGACGUGUGAGGGUGGUCGGCCACAUGAGAGGGUGAACAGCGACCAGGCUCCUGAGGGAGGCAGCAGUAGGGAACCGUCCGCAACAGGCGGAAGCAUGACGGAACAGGCCCGCGUGUGUGAUGAAGGUGUUGCGAUCGUAAAACCCUGUUAUGAGUGAAAAACCAAUUUCUAAGGUACCAAGCCCGUAGUGACGGUACCUAAUAAGGAAGCCACGGCUAACUACGUG